CUUGCCGAGUCGAGGGCUGGAGCGUGGCAAUCUCUUGGAAACCUGGGGAGCAAGGAGAGGAUUCGUUCCGCUGUCUGCCUGCUGGAAAGAACUGAUCUUCAUCUUCAAAAAUUUGCUGUGUGCUUCCUCUUCAUGAAGACGUCUUUUGUGACUGUUAGACUAUUGCAAAGAGCUUUUCCUCUGAAACUCAGCACUACCAUAGUAGAACCAGUUCUAGACUUCCUUUUCAAGGAUUGCACUCGCUGAUCUGUCCGGAACAAGGGGUAGAUGUGCCUGCACUGCCUUCCUGGGAGCAUCUGCAGUUCCAGCACUUGGUACGUAGUUGAGGGGGACUGUUCAUGUGUCCCCCUGCUACGUUAAUGUAACCUAAAGAUG
This 375-nucleotide long non-coding RNA is filed under the name Struthio camelus australis. Its description in RNAcentral is "lncRNA (ENSSCUG00000018551.1)". Lineage: Eukaryota; Metazoa; Chordata; Aves; Struthioniformes; Struthionidae. The record is from RNAcentral.